Molecule: long non-coding RNA, 243 nt
Filed under: Gallus gallus (chicken)
Lineage: Eukaryota; Metazoa; Chordata; Aves; Galliformes; Phasianidae
Source: RNAcentral
GAAUAAACAUGUUUGGAAAGCAACAAAUAAGAUUACAAAUUGCAUCGCAUCAGCAGAAUCGUUUACUGUAGAGGACGGUGGUCUUGAUUAUGAUUCCCCUGGGGUGACUGCCUUUAUCAAUCAUGUUGUUGCCUGAAGAUGCACAUAGAGAUGCUCCUCAGUACAGCAGCAUGUCCUGAAGGAGCGUCCUGAUCUGCAAGUUUUAAACUCUGAAUGGAAGAUUAAUGUGUCAUAUACGAAUAC